UCCUACGGGGGGCAGCAGUGAGGAAUAUUGGUCAAUGGUCGGGAGACUGAACCAGCCAAGCCGCGUGAGGGAUGAAGGUACAGAGUAUCGUAAACCUCUUUUGUCAGGGAACAAAGGCGGGGACGUGUCCCCGGAUGAGUGUACCUGAAGAAAAAGCAUCGGCUAACUCCGUGCCAGCAGCCGCGGUAAUACGAAGGAUGCGAGCGUUAUCCGGAUUUAUUGGGUUUAAAGGGUGCGCAGGCGGUCUGUUAAGUCAGCGGUCAAAGCCCGGGGCUCAACCCCGGCCCGCCGUUGAAACUGGCAGG
RNAcentral lists this ribosomal RNA (305 nucleotides) under uncultured bacterium. Its description in RNAcentral is "bacterial SSU rRNA". It matches the Rfam family "Bacterial small subunit ribosomal RNA", at positions 337 to 640 of the family's 1533-position model. The record is from RNAcentral.